CUACGGGGGGCAGCAGUGGGGAAUAUUGGACAAUGGGCGAAAGCCUGAUCCAGCCAUGCCGCGUGUGUGAAGAAGGCCUUCGGGUUGUAAAGCACUUUCAGUGGGGAAGAAAGCCUUGGGGCUAAUACCCUCGAGGAAGGACAUCACCCACAGAAGAAGCACCGGCUAACUCCGUGCCAGCAGCCGCGGUAAUACGGAGGGUGCGAGCGUUAAUCGGAAUUACUGGGCGUAAAGCGCGCGUAGGCGGUCUGAUAAGCCGGUUGUGAAAGCCCCGGGCUCAACCUGGGAACGGCAUCCGGAACUGUCAGGCUAGAGUGCAGGAGAGGAAGGUAGAAUUCCCGGUGUAGCGGUGAAAUGCGUAGAGAUCGGGAGGAAUACCAGUGGCGAAGGCGGCCUUCUGGACUGACACUGACGCUGAGGUGCGAAAGCGUGGGUAGCAAACAGGAUUAGAUACCCGGGUAGUC
Molecule: ribosomal RNA, 464 nt
Filed under: Vreelandella stevensii
Lineage: Bacteria; Pseudomonadati; Pseudomonadota; Gammaproteobacteria; Oceanospirillales; Halomonadaceae
Description: partial 16S ribosomal RNA
Rfam family: Bacterial small subunit ribosomal RNA
Source: RNAcentral